GUAAGUAUUUCACUACUAUCCUCGUGGUUGCUGUCUGUUGGUAACUAUUUACUGUUUACUCACUUCUUUGUCAAAUUUUAAAUAUUGACAAAAUAAGUAAGUUAUUUAAACUUUUGUAGAUAUUGUCACUGUAUUCAGUUAAUUAAAAGAAAUUAAAUUCUAUUGAACACAAUGUUUUUGUAGUGCGUUUCACAUCAAGAUUACACCGUAUCCAGUGACAAUUUCUACUUUAAUCAAUGAUGGUUUUUGAAAAUAAAACAUAAAUUGAAGAGAGGAAGAGUACAAAUAGAUUUAAAAAGUGAUCUCAGAUAUUGAUGAUUACUUAUGGAAUUCAAAAAUAACCACAAGUCCUUCAUAUAAGUUUCUCAGUUGUAACUAUCCAAAUCAAUCAGCUUUAACAGUUUUUCAGGAUCAAAAAAGUCAAAAUCAG
This is a long non-coding RNA of Rhopalosiphum maidis (corn leaf aphid), 430 nucleotides long. RefSeq lists it as uncharacterized. Lineage: Eukaryota; Metazoa; Arthropoda; Insecta; Hemiptera; Aphididae. The record is from RefSeq and is a predicted model, not a curated record. The transcript is spliced from 3 exons.